UGAAGUAUACAUGCAGCAGUUGGGUUGGAACACUCCUAGAUUGACCGGUGAGGGUGCAGAUGUAGAACAUAGUGAACACACACCAAUAGUCCCAUACUUGUAUAUUUUUGACGACGACUCUGGUGAAACUGAUUGAUGCUGCAGAAGGAGAACGUAGUGAAUUCACACCCACUGGAAGCCUGUAUUUCUGUCUUUGAUGACGACUCUGAUGAAGCUGAUUAAAAGUUUCAUUCCUAAUGUGGAACAACAAAGUUUGAAUUAUGCUUGAUUAAAAAAUAUACCUUUAGUUAUCAAUAAAUUUUAACUCACGGAUACUAGAGUUGUCUCUAAUGAUAAAGUAUUGAGUUAGAGUUUUAAUCGAAACUCGAGGAAUUGAAAAAGAAACCUUUAGCUAGUCUUGACUACUUUGACAACAUAGCUUUAAUUUCAGUGUCUUAUCGAUUCAAUUUAAUGUUUUAAUAAAAUUUUUGAAAGGGGAAAAAUUUAGAUAUGAUUCAAAAAUUAAUUAUAAAAAAGUUUUAUUUCAUGUUAUUUUUCUAUCCAAUCACACUGCCGCUGAAGGAUUAACUGAUUAAUAAGUAAUGGAUAAAUAGAACGGAAAUAUUGAAAUUCCCUCGUUGCCCUCCAUAAAGCCAACUAAAGCAGCCAAAUUAGAUGGCCAGAAAGGUCAUCAGAAUACAGUUGUUUGAUUUAUGGGGCCAAUAUCCUUUUUCGGUUUAAGAACGUUGGGACUUGGGGCAGAGGCUACAAUCACACUGAGCAGUAACAAACAUGGCAAGAAGCUCGGAUUAUGGAGCUUUCAUGGAGAAAUUCGUGCUCAAACCGAGUUCAUCUCAUGAACUUCCCUUAAAUGGUCUUACCUUUGCGGUUAAAGAUAUUUUCGAUGUGAAUGGAUUUGUGACUGGGUUUGGCAAUCCGGACUGGGCAAGGACCCAUUCAGCUGCUAAAUCUACUCCUCCGGCUGUUUUGGCUAUCUUGAGAGGAGGAGCCACAUGUGUUGGUAAAACUGUCAUGGAUGAAAUGGCAUAUAGUCUAAAUGGGGCAAAUAAACAUUAUGGCACACCUACAAAUCCUUGUGCUCCAGAUCGUGUACCCGGAGGAUCUUCCAGUGGGUCUGCUGUUGCAGUAGGUGCAAAGCUUGUAGACUUCUCCUUAGGAACUGACACUUGAGGUAGUGUAAGAGUUCCAGCGUCAUAUUGCAGCAUUUUGGGGUUUCGACCUUCACAUGAUGCUGUUUCUACUGCUGGAGUUAUUCCCAUGGCACAGAGUUUUGAUACUUAGGGAUGGUUUGCUAGGGAUCCAGUGAUUUUGAAUCGAGUUGGUCGCAUUCUACUUCAAUUGCCUGAUGUGGAUCUGGUUAGAGCAAGGCAGAUAUUUAUUGCAGAAGACUGUUUUAAGCUUUCAAGCAUUCCGAAUAAUCGAGUUAGUCAAGUUCUUGUUAAAUCAGCGGAGAAGUUAUUUGGGGGUGAUGUUGUGAAGCAUUUAAUCCUUGGGGACUAUGUUGAGAAUAAAGUUCCAAGUUUGAGUCAUUUUAUUAGUAAAGAAAUCAAAAAGCAAGACUAUGGUAUAGCAUCCUUGGCAGCCCUCUCAAGUGCCAUGCGUUUGCUUCAAAGGAAGAGGAUGUUGAAAUUAUUGUACACCAUAUGCUUGGUGUGGUUGAUUCAUUCUUGAGAAGGGGUGAUCAAUCUCAUCCAAUGAGAACACCUGAAACAAAACAAGGAGAGUUCAAGAAUCUAGUCUCUGAUGCAGCAAGGCCUUUUCUAGCAGCAAGAACAGAACGAUUCGUGAAUGAGAUGGAAUUGUUUCUUGCUUCAGGUUUCAACAUUGAAGCCUAUGAUGAAGUAUACAUGCAGUAGUUGGGUUGGAACACUCCUAGAUUGACUGGUGAGGCUGCAGAUGUAGAACAUAGUGAACACACACCAAUAGUCCCAUACUUGUAUAUUUUUUACGACGACUCUGAUGAAACUGAUUGAGGCUGCAGAAGGAGAACGUAGUGAAUUCACACCCACCUGGAAUUCUGUAUUUCUAUCUUUGAUGCCAACUCUGAUGAAGCUGAUUAAAAGUUUCAUUCCUAAGGUGGAACAACAAAGUUUGAAUUAUGCUUGAUUAAAAAAUAUACCCUUAGUUAUCAAUAA
Molecule: RNA transcript, 2135 nt
Organism: Hevea brasiliensis (rubber tree)
Lineage: Eukaryota; Viridiplantae; Streptophyta; Magnoliopsida; Malpighiales; Euphorbiaceae
Gene name: amidase 1
Exons: 8
Source: RefSeq, a predicted model, not a curated record